Molecule: ribosomal RNA, 253 nt
Filed under: uncultured bacterium
Lineage: Bacteria
Description: partial 16S ribosomal RNA
Rfam family: Bacterial small subunit ribosomal RNA
Source: RNAcentral
UACAGAGGAUGCAAGCGUUGUCCGGAAUCACUGGGCGUAAAGGGCGCGUAGGCGGCUUGAUAAGGUUGCGGUGAAAGCCCGGGGCUCAACCCCGGGUCGGCCGUGGCAACUGUCGAGCUGGAGCACUGUAGAGGCAGGUGGAAUUCCGGGUGUAGCGGUGGAAUGCGUAGAGAUCCGGAAGAACACCGGUGGCGAAGGCGGCCUGCUGGGCAGUGGCUGACGCUGAGGCGCGACAGCGUGGGGAGCAAACAGG